AACGCACAUUGCACUCCUCUGGAGUAUGCCUGUUUGAGAAUCUAUAGUAUUAAUUUCUUAUGAUUUCAUUCGUGAAAGACUAAGGAGAUAUGAAGUUCCCAUUUUUUGAUGGGUUCUUUUAAAUAGAUUGCUACUAGUAAUAUGAAAAUGCUUGACAUUUCUCUGUAUCUAUUAGAAAAGUAUGUGUAUGGAACCGUGGUUUCUCAUAAUGCCUACUAUUUUAGAGGAGAUUUGGAGUUUUCAUAUGAACAGUUUAGUCCAUACCUAUAAAGGCGCAAGCCUUGAACCAUGGUCUCAAAUCAGGUAGGAAGACCCGCUGAACUUAA
RNAcentral lists this unclassified non-coding RNA (326 nucleotides) under uncultured fungus. Its description in RNAcentral is "sequence contains ITS2". Lineage: Eukaryota; Fungi. The record is from RNAcentral.